AUUGAACGCUGGCGGCAUGCCUUACACAUGCAAGUCGAACGGCAGCACGGGAGCAAUCCUGGUGGCGAGUGGCGAACGGGUGAGUAAUAUAUCGGAACGUGCCCAGUCGUGGGGGAUAACGUAGCGAAAGCUACGCUAAUACCGCAUACGAUCUAUGGAUGAAAGCGGGGGAUCGCAAGACCUCGCGCGAUUGGAGCGGCCGAUAUCAGAUUAGGUAGUUGGUGAGGUAAAGGCUCACCAAGCCGACGAUCUGUAGCUGGUCUGAGAGGACGACCAGCCACACUGGGACUGAGACACGGCCCAGACUCCUACCGGGAGGCAGCAGUGGGGAAUUUUUGGACAAUGGNGCAAGCCUGAUCCAGCAAUGCCGCGUGCAGGAUGAAGGCC
This 387-nucleotide ribosomal RNA is filed under the name uncultured bacterium. RNAcentral describes it as "bacterial SSU rRNA". It matches the Rfam family "Bacterial small subunit ribosomal RNA", at positions 30 to 416 of the family's 1533-position model. The record is from RNAcentral.